ACGCUCCUCGUUGAGCCUCUGCCUUUCAGUUCUCUUGGAACAAGACGGAAGAGAGUCACUCUUACCGUCGUGCAUACCUUAAGCGGGUCUGCCGCCUUCGUUUCUCUUUCUUCGCGAAUGACUAACCUCCCUUUGGCUAUGCCCACAAGGCGUGCCUUGCCGGUGCAAAUGGUGCCAGCAGGGUUCGGUUUAGGGCUUGUAGCUCAGUUGGUUAGAGCGCGCGCUUGAUAAGCGUGAGGUCGGAGGUUCAAGUCCUCCCAGGCCCACCAUUUCCUCGACAAAAGGUAUCAGGGGCCGUAGCUCAGCUGGGAGAGCGCCUGCUUUGCAAGCAGGAUGUCGUCGGUUCGAUCCCGUCCGGCUCCACCAUCUUUCUUCUCUUGAGAGGAAAGGGUGUCGAGUAGAGAUGAGCGCCGAUCGGUCAGUCAUUCGUAUAAAGGUUUGCGGCGAGCUUCUUGGCUCUCCGCCUGUUCUGUAUGACAUCGUAAAGAGAAGAUUUGUUCGAACUUCAUGGUCCGCAAGGUUCAUGAUUUGUCGCGGGAGACGCUCAAUCUCCCGCAUAUGAUGGGUUUGCCUAACCGCGCCCUCGAACCGAUCUCGAGAAGCUGGUCUUUUUGUGCCAAUUCCAUUGAAUCCAGGUUCUGCACAGGAUCUGGUUCGGGCGACAAUCCUUCGGGAUUGCGCGAUGGGCAUUGGCAAUGAGAACGAUCAAGUGUCUUAAGGGCAAUUGGUGGAUGCCUUGGCAUGCACAGGCGAUGAAGGACGUGAUACGCUGCGAUAAGCUACGGGGAGGUGCGAAUACCCUUUGAUCCGUAGAUUUCCA
Molecule: unclassified non-coding RNA, 820 nt
Filed under: Mesorhizobium septentrionale
Lineage: Bacteria; Pseudomonadati; Pseudomonadota; Alphaproteobacteria; Hyphomicrobiales; Phyllobacteriaceae
Description: partial contains 16S-23S ribosomal RNA intergenic spacer and 23S ribosomal RNA
Rfam family: Bacterial large subunit ribosomal RNA (bases 704-820)
Source: RNAcentral